Long non-coding RNA from Aedes albopictus (Asian tiger mosquito), 790 nucleotides. RefSeq lists it as uncharacterized. NCBI's taxonomy places the organism in Eukaryota, Metazoa, Arthropoda, Insecta, Diptera, Culicidae. The record is from RefSeq and is a predicted model, not a curated record. The transcript is spliced from 3 exons.
AAAUCUCUCGAUAAAAAUCGAGAGUUCUUUUACGGUUUGGGUGUAAAGUUUCCAGAACUUGAUAUAUCAGAACUGUGGCCAUUUAUCGAUGAAUUCAAUGAAGCAUUUGCCCCUUUGCACGCUGCAAGCGUACGUGCACAAUACCUUGAUUGCCCUAUCAGCCAAUUCCAUAUUGAAUGGCUGAAAGCAUAUGGACAAGUAAAGCGCCUCAAAGAAUGCCGUUUCAAAGACAAGAUUUUGGAAUCUAUGGAAACUCGCCAGCAAACCUUAAUGGCCAAUAAUGCGUACAAAGCUGCAUUGUUUUUGGAUCCACGACUAAACUUCAGCGGAUCUGAAUUGUUUUCUGCUGAUCAGAAAGCUGAAAUUAUCGAAUUCCUUGUGAAGUUGUGGAACAAAAUUGAACUUCAUGAAAACGGCUUGACUAAUACAACAACAUCAGCUUUGGAUCAAACUGAUGAAGCAACCCAGGACGACACUUUCAAUAUGGAUGAUUUCAUCACGCAAACCUUAGGACAUGGAAAUGAGAACCAUCGUGAAGAUUGCACUAUGGAGCAACAAAUUGCCGCUCUACAGUAUCAGAAGCGAGUGCCCGCCACAGGUUCAUCGUUCAAUGUCGUCAAUUAUUGGUAUUGCAAGCGGUUGGAGGACGAGCGACUUUGGAGAAUCGCACGGGUAGUGUUUGCGGCUGCUUCUACACAAGCUUCGAAUGAACGUGAUUUUUCACAUUUUAAUAAUGUGUAUACAGCGUUGCGUAACAGGCUGAGCGGAAAUAGUACCGACACUAUACUGA